UACAGAGGGUGCGAACGUUGCUCGGAAUUACUGGGCGUAAAGCGCGUGUAGGCGGGUCGGCAAGUCAGGCGUGAAAUCCCCAGGCUCAACCUGGGAACUGCGCUUGAAACUGCCGGUCUUGAGUAUCGGAGAGGGUGGCGGAAUUCCUGGUGUAGAGGUGAAAUUCGUAGAUAUCAGGAGGAACACCGGUGGCGAAGGCGGCCACCUGGACGAUUAUUGACGCUGAGACGCGAAAGCGUGGGGAGCAAACAGG
RNAcentral lists this ribosomal RNA (253 nucleotides) under uncultured bacterium. RNAcentral describes it as "partial 16S ribosomal RNA". It matches the Rfam family "Bacterial small subunit ribosomal RNA", at positions 524 to 776 of the family's 1533-position model. The record is from RNAcentral.